RNAcentral lists this long non-coding RNA (1036 nucleotides) under Homo sapiens (human). Its description in RNAcentral is "HSALNT0338709". The record is from RNAcentral. Lineage: Eukaryota; Metazoa; Chordata; Mammalia; Primates; Hominidae.
GCCUUUGUUCUCGGGUCGCCCCUCUCGCUGGUGGCGCUCCGAGAGAGCAGCGGAGCCACCUGCCCAGGCCACGCUUCCCCGAGCAUCCGCAGCUGCACCCGGGGGCUGUCGGCGCCCGCCCCGGAGCGUGCGGGAGGCACAGCGGGAAGAAGUCGCUGAGAUUCGGCCCUCGUGGCUUUGCGUGCCCGCGUGGUUGAUGCCUCCGCCGAGAACGCGGUCGGCCGGGAGCCGGGGAGGAGCGUGGACGCCGGCCUGGCAGGUACCCCCGCGAGAACGUGGGAGCCGGUGUAUUUCAGCUGCAUUUAUUACUGAUCUCGGGCUGCACCAGGGCACUUGUAGGACCGCACUAAAAACAGCGGAAAGUGAGGAGCCAAGCCUGGGUCCGGGGCGGCCCGCCGUACAGCUGGCCUCACGGAUUCCACUGCCUGCGCCUGCAGAUGACUUGUUCUGGAGAGUAGAGAAUGUUCUCGGAUUUAAAGUACAAUCCGGUUUCCUUUCCAUUCAUUAUAGUUGCCUACACUCAACAAACAAAAGUUGGGAAAGAUAAAGGGAUUAUUCUAGCGCGUCACAUUGACAAACACCGACGUUAACACGCUCAGUCCAGCCUGACUCACUUGCCUCAGGUCAGAGAGGUCACCACUGACGACGCCGGGCCCUCAAGCCGAUCCUAAUCCAGCUUGGUUCUCUCAGCCUCAGCCAGACCAUCCGUUCUUGCCUCUGUCCCACCACGUGCAGGUGAGCCUCCUACAUGGUGCUGCUUCUAGUCGGCCGUCUUGGCCCCACCCCUAGUUUUGCAUGGCUGGGAGGCCUCAGGAAACUUAAAAUCAUGGCGCAAGGCAAAGGGAAAGCAACGCACCUUCUUCACAAGGCAGCAGGAGGGAGCUGGAGUGAUUUUCUAAGAAUAAUUCUGGCCAAACUUUCAUGCACUCCCGCAGCCAAACUCCAUUUGGAUCUAUUCAGGCAGGAAUCAUAUUUCAGCUCCUUAACUCUCAUAAGUGGAAACUGACACCAACUCAUUAUAAAACCUAAGUGGAAA